GCCCUGGCCGCCAGCAGGGGGCGCAAGGCCAUGACCCCGUGAGCAAGAGGGCCCUGCAGUGCCCCCGGCCGCCAGCAGGGCGUCCACACCGGGCCGAAGCGAGGGUGAAGCCCGCGUUCUCCUCAGCACAGACCCGGGGGGGCACCGCCUCGCUUUGGGAAAACUCGAGGCCAUGAUUCCUCAGCGGUUGUUGCUGAGCCAGAUCUGCAUCUCACAGAAAACACCCCAGUGUUUUUCACCCCAAACAGGGACCCCUCCCAGUGGUGCCCAGCGUCUUUCACAGGACACCGUGUGAGUGCAGAUGGAGAUCCACUGAGCACUCUGCUGGGGAGCAAUUCAUGGGGAGCACCCCUCCAGAGAGAGAUGGCUCGCACAGGCCCUCAGCCCAGCCCCUUGCAGGCUGGACCUUGGAGAGUGAGGCCCUGAGACGAGACAUGGGCACCUGGCUUCUGGCCUGCACCUGCGUCUGCACCUGUGUCUGCUCGGGAGUCUCUGUCUCAGGGGAUGGACGAGCUGGACCCACUCUGACUUGCAGAGCACGUCAGCUCGCCACUGCAUCCUGACCUGGAGCCUCAGUCCUGCCUUGGAGUCAAUGAACACACUUCUCAGCUAUGAGCUGGCCUUCAAGAGGCAGGAAGAGGCCUGGGAGACUCGGAUGGGGGCCCACAGGGCUGGUGUGCUGCUGAGCCAGGACUGUGCUGGCACCCGACGAGGAGCCUUGGAGCCCUGCGUCCAGGAGGCCACUGCACUGUUCACCUGUGGCCCAGCGGGUCCUUGGAAAUCUGUGGGCCUGGAGGAGGAGCAGGAAGGCACUGGGACCUGAGCUCAGAGCAUGUGCUGCCAGCAGGGUGUACGGAGUGGAGGGCACAGCCCCUUGCCUAUCUGCCACAGGAGGACUGGGCCCCCACGUCCCCCACCGGUGCAUGUUACUCCCUUCCGUCCUUAGCAAGGCUCGGUCCUGGAUGUUCUAGGUCCCUGACUUGCCAGAUGAAUCAUGUCCAUUUUGGGAAAAUGGACUUAAGUCUCCAGAGCCCUUGUCUGGGACUGAACCUCCUGAGAAUGGGCCCCUAGCAGUGGUUGGAGGUCCUGUCUGGAUGGAGGCUCAGGGGCAGCUUCAGGGAGGAAGGAUCCCUCUGCUCAGUGCCUGUGGGGAGCAGCCUCUACCCUCAGCAUCUGCCCACAGGUUCUUCCUUCCGCUGUCCCUUUUCUUUAUCCCUGGCCUCUCUGAGAAGAGGGGUGUGGUCUCUCAGCUGUUCCACCAUCAUCCCCUUAAAGGGCCAGCCUGGGCCCAGUGGACACAGAUGGCGUCUUGGUCUGUCGCCCAGGCUGAAGUGCAGUGGCGUGAUCUCAACUUUCUGCAACCCCUGCCUCCCCGGUUCAAGUGAUUCUCCUGCCUCCACCUCCCAAGUAGCUGGGAUUACAGGCGUGAGCCACCACUCCCAGCUAAUUUUUGUAUUUUUAGUAGAUACAGAAUUUUGCCAUGUUGGCCAGGCUGGUCUCAAAUUCCUGGCCUCAAGUGAUUGCCAGCCUCCUCUUCCCAAAGUGCUGAGAUUACAGACAUGAGCCACUGCACCCGGGCAUGUCAUCUGUAUAUCUUUUUUGGUGAGGUGUCUAUCUUUUAAUUGGGUUGUUUUUCUUUUUGUUAUUAGAAUUUGUUUGCAUAUUUUGCACACAAGUCUUUUUCAAGUUUGUUUUUUAAAUAUUUUCUCUCAGUCUGUGGCUUGUUUUUUGAUUCUCUUAACGGGAUAUUUCAUAGAAUAGUCAUUUUAAAUUUUAAUAAAGUCCACAUUAUCUUUUUUUAUUUUAUGAACUGGCUUUUGAUAUUGUAUCUAAAGACUCAUCACCAAUCCAAAGUCAUAUGGAUUUUCUUCUAUAACUUUUACAAUUUUAUAUUUGAAAAUUUAAGUCUACAGACUAUCUUGAGUGAUUUUUUAGGGGUGAGCUAUGAAGUUUGUAUCUACGUUCAUUUUUUUCCCUAUGGUUUCCGAUUGUUCUGUCACCAUCUGUGGAACAGAUUUUUCUUUCCCCAUUGAAUAUUUUUGCCCCUUUGACAAAAGCAGUUGACUGUAUUUAUUUGGGUCUUUUGGGUUCUGUAUUCUAUUCCGUUCAUCUAUUUGUCCAUUCCUUCACCAAUAUCACUCUCUUCAUUACUUUAGCUUUGUGGUAAAGCUAACAGUAAUGAGUGUACUGCUGCUCCUAAACAAGGAGUAUCUGCAUUUAUUUAUAUAUUUUUUAUUCUUCCCAACCAUGAUCCAAGGUUUUCUGAAUGCAUAUUUAGAUGUAUUGUCUUACAUUUAUACUUAAUAAAUUCAAUUUUGGGGGUGCUAUUGU
Long non-coding RNA from Pan troglodytes (chimpanzee), 2331 nucleotides. RefSeq lists it as uncharacterized. Lineage: Eukaryota; Metazoa; Chordata; Mammalia; Primates; Hominidae. The record is from RefSeq and is a predicted model, not a curated record. The transcript is spliced from 6 exons.